RNAcentral lists this ribosomal RNA (484 nucleotides) under uncultured bacterium. Its description in RNAcentral is "partial 16S ribosomal RNA". It matches the Rfam family "Bacterial small subunit ribosomal RNA", at positions 30 to 507 of the family's 1533-position model. The record is from RNAcentral.
AUUGAACGCUGGCGGCAUGCUUUACACAUGCAAGUCGAACGGCAGCGCGGGCUUCGGCCUGGCGGCGAGUGGCGAACGGGUGAGUAAUACAUCGGAACGUGCCCAGUAGUUGGGGAUAGCUCGGCGAAAGCCGGAUUAAUACCGCAUACGACCUGAGGGUGAAAGCGGGGGAUCUUCGGACCUCGCGCUAUUGUAGCGGCCGAUGGCAGAUUAGCUAGUUGGUGGGGUAAAGGCCUACCAAGGCGACGAUCUGUAGCUGGUCUGAGAGGACGACCAGCCACACUGGGACUGAGACACGGCCCAGACUACUACGGGAGGCAGCAGUGGGGAAUUUUGGACAAUGGGCGAAAGCCUGAUCCAGCAAUGCCGCGUGUGUGAUGAAGGCCUUCGGGUUGUAAAGCACUUUUGGCGGGAACGAAAAGGACUGUGCCAAUACCACGGUUCGAUGACGGUACCCGCAGAAUAAGCACCGGCUAACUACGUG